GUGCUCACUUUUGGCAGCACAUAUACUAAAAUUGGAACGAUACAAAGAUUAUGGCCCCUGCACAAGGAUGACACAUAAAUUUGUGAAGCAUUCUAUAUUUUU
This 102-nucleotide small nuclear RNA is filed under the name Urocitellus parryii (Arctic ground squirrel). Lineage: Eukaryota; Metazoa; Chordata; Mammalia; Rodentia; Sciuridae. The record is from RNAcentral.